CCUACGGGAGGCAGCAGUGAGGAAUAUUGGUCAAUGGACGAGAGUCUGAACCAGCCAAGUAGCGUGAAGGAUGACUGCCCUAUGGGUUGUAAACUUCUUUUAUAUGGGAAUAAAACGUUCCACGUGUGGGAUUUUGUAUGUACCAUAUGAAUAAGGAUCGGCUAACUCCGUGCCAGCAGCCGCGGUAAUACGGAGGAUCCGAGCGUUAUCCUGAUUUAUUGGGUUUAAAGGGAGCGUAGGUGGAUUGUUAAGUCAGUUGUGAAAGUUUGCGGCUCAACCGUAAAAUUGCAGUUGAAACUGGCAGUCUUGAGUACAGUAGAGGUGGGCGGAAUUCGUGGUGUAGCGGUGAAAUGCUUAGAUAUCACGAAGAACUCCGAUGGCGAAGGCAGUUCACUGGACUGCAACUGACACUGAGGCUCGAAAGUGUGGGUAUCAAACAGGAUUAGAUACCCUAGUAGUC
RNAcentral lists this ribosomal RNA (460 nucleotides) under uncultured bacterium. Its description in RNAcentral is "partial 16S ribosomal RNA". It matches the Rfam family "Bacterial small subunit ribosomal RNA", at positions 338 to 795 of the family's 1533-position model. The record is from RNAcentral.